AUUGAACGCUGGCGGCAUGCUUAAAAAAGGCAAGCGGAACGGAACAAGGCCUUGGGGUCUGGAGGGGUGGCAAAGGGGGGGGUAUGCCAUCGGAAGGUACCCAGGGGGGGGGGAAAAGGAAGCGAAAGCGGGGCAAAUACCCCAUGGGAUCGGAGAUGGAAGGCGGGGAACGGGGAGGAAAUGUUUGCCUUGGGGCCUUUGGAGCGGCCGAUGUCGGAUUAGCAAGUGGGUGGGGUAAAGGCCUACCAAGGCGACGAUCCGUAGCUGGUCUGAGAGGACGACCAGCCACACUGGGACUGAGACACGGCCCAGACUCCUACGGGAGGCAGCAGUGGGGAAUUUUGGACAAUGGGCGCAAGCCUGAUCCAGCAAUGCCGCGUGCGGGAAGAAGGCCUUCGGGUUGUAAACCGCUUUUGGCAGGAACGAAACGGUGUCCGCUAAUACCGGGCGCUAAUGACGGUACCUGCAGAAUAAGCACCGGCUAACUACGUG
Molecule: ribosomal RNA, 492 nt
Filed under: uncultured bacterium
Lineage: Bacteria
Description: partial 16S ribosomal RNA
Rfam family: Bacterial small subunit ribosomal RNA
Source: RNAcentral